ACCAGCUCCCCGCUGCCCCUUACCUUGGCCUGGCAUUUCCGAUGACAGGAGAAGCUGCAGACUGCGGGAGCGAGACAGAAAGAAAGUUUUAGCCGCGAGAUGUCCCUCAGGCUCCUGAGAAAGGCAGACACCUGGACAGCUGUGACCUCCCAGGUCCUUGGAGAGCACCAAAGGCAGAGACCUACCCACAAUGCCUUCCUGUGCUGACUCCCUGAGCAGACUUGAUCCACGCCUACUUCUCCCACCCCUGGCCCAGUCAAGGCAACCCUACGCCUUCUGCUGAAGUUCACAUGUGGCCAAGCCCAGAGCCAUCCUCACUCUUCCUUGCUGGACUACUCCUGGAUGUCAUGUAGCUUGAUGGUGUGUCUGGACUGGAGUCCAGGCUUUCCUCUGGCCCGUGGUCUCCUCUGCCUCGAGAUUCAGGAUGAAACUGGGAGACUCCUAUACACAUGGGAACCAGGGCCCCUGUCUUUGAGAACUCGUGGACUAAGUCAUCAUGGAGACUAGACACAGAUAUCUGAAUGCCACAGGAAACUAGGCAGAGAUGUGCCCACAGACACACUCCAAAUCCUAAAAUUCCCUCUUUCCCUGCUCCCACUGGUGCCUCUCAGAUGAGGGGGAAACUCCAGGAGGAAGAGAGUGGAGAGCAAGGGGAGACAGAAGCCAAUUUAUGUGACCUGAAGGUACAGGGCAGAAUGGGUCUAUUAUACAAUAAAAAUGCAAAGCCUGACCUGC
This is a long non-coding RNA of Alexandromys fortis (reed vole), 735 nucleotides long. RefSeq lists it as uncharacterized. The record is from RefSeq and is a predicted model, not a curated record. NCBI's taxonomy places the organism in Eukaryota, Metazoa, Chordata, Mammalia, Rodentia, Cricetidae. The transcript is spliced from 3 exons.